RNAcentral lists this ribosomal RNA (501 nucleotides) under uncultured bacterium. RNAcentral's name for it is "partial 16S ribosomal RNA". It matches the Rfam family "Bacterial small subunit ribosomal RNA", at positions 30 to 523 of the family's 1533-position model. The record is from RNAcentral.
AUUGAACGCUGGCGGCAGGCUUAACACAUGCAAGUCGAGCGGGGAAAGGUAGCUUGCUACCUAACCUAGCGGCGGACGGGUGAGUAAUGCUUAGGAAUCUGCCUAUUAGUGGGGGACAACAUUCCGAAAGGAAUGCUAAUACCGCAUACGCCCUACGGGGGAAAGCAGGGGAUCUUCGGACCUUGCGCUAAUAGAUGAGCCUAAGUCAGAUGAGCUAGUUGGUGGGGUAAAGUCCUACCAAGGCGACGAUCUGUAGCGGGUCUGAGAGGAUGAUCCGCCAAACUGGGACGGAGACACGGCCCAGGCUCCUACGGGAGGCAGCAGUGGGGAAUAUUGGACAAUGGGCGAAAGCCUGAUCCAGCCAUGCCGCGUGUGUGAAGAAGGCCUUUUGGUUGUAAAGCACUUUAAGCGAGGAAGAGGCUACUUGGAUUAAUACUCUAGGAUAGUGGACGUUACUCGCAGAAUAAGCACCGGCUAACUCUGUGCCAGCAGCCGCCGUAA